This 397-nucleotide transfer-messenger RNA is filed under the name human gut metagenome. It matches the Rfam family "transfer-messenger RNA". Rfam says of the family: Bacterial tmRNA, also known as 10Sa RNA or SsrA, is named for its dual tRNA and mRNA-like properties. Its role is to liberate the mRNA from a stalled ribosome. The record is from RNAcentral.
GGGGAUGUUUUGGUUUUGACAGCAUAAGACAUCGGAAGGUAAGCACGUCGAGCGUCGGAAUUUUGCUCGUAAAUCUCAGAUUUCAAGCCAUAACUGGCAACAAUUCUUAUGCACUCGCUGCGUAGUCUGCAAAGCACACUACCUUAAUCCUCGCCGCCAAGGCUGCGGCGACGACGAGUAUCCCGCCGGACUUUAAGCCAUCUCUGACCGGCACCAGGGGUAUCAUUCAAGAUGGAUGCUGGCACGGACUCUUCUAAAGUGCCUUAAGACUCAGAAGAUAAGGUAUUGGUGGCGUGUCUGUCCGCAGCCCCUACCCGACAACCAAUGACAGAAUAAACGUGUAGAAAGCUUUUGGGUGCUAUGUUUGGACGGCGGUUCGAGUCCGCCCAUCUCCACA